AUAAUUGAAGAGUUUGAUCCUGGCUCACAGUGAACGCUGGCGGCGUGGCUAAGGCAUGCAAGUCGCACGGGGUAGCAAUACCCAGUGGCGCAAGGGUG
RNAcentral lists this ribosomal RNA (98 nucleotides) under Phycisphaerae bacterium. RNAcentral's name for it is "partial 16S ribosomal RNA". It matches the Rfam family "Bacterial small subunit ribosomal RNA", at positions 1 to 108 of the family's 1533-position model. RNAcentral also lists the same sequence under 1 other name. Lineage: Bacteria; Pseudomonadati; Planctomycetota; Phycisphaerae. The record is from RNAcentral.